UACGUAGGGUGCAAGCGUUGUCCGGAAUUAUUGGGCGUAAAGAGCUCGUAGGCGGUUUGUCGCGUCGAAUGUGAAAACCCGGGGCUCAACCCCGGGCCUGCAUUCGAUACGGGCAGACUAGAGUUCGGUAGGGGAGUCUGGAAUUCUUGGUGUAGCGGUGAAAUGCGCAGAUAUCAGGAGGAACACCGGUGGCGAAGGCGGGUCUCUGGGCCGAUACUGACGCUGAGGAGCGAAAGCGUGGGGAGCGAACAGG
RNAcentral lists this ribosomal RNA (253 nucleotides) under uncultured bacterium. RNAcentral describes it as "partial 16S ribosomal RNA". It matches the Rfam family "Bacterial small subunit ribosomal RNA", at positions 524 to 776 of the family's 1533-position model. The record is from RNAcentral.